Molecule: long non-coding RNA, 1007 nt
Organism: Dreissena polymorpha
Lineage: Eukaryota; Metazoa; Mollusca; Bivalvia; Myida; Dreissenidae
Exons: 2
Source: RefSeq, a predicted model, not a curated record
CACAUGCUACUUUUCGCACAAAAGUGGCGAUAUUACGUUCGCCUCUUUAAGAUUUAUUCUGCGUUUUGCAGAUCCAUAUUUAGACCGCGCUAUGCAAUUAGCCAAUCGGCAUAAAGUUUAAAGUUGAAAAACAUAGGCGGUGAGAGGUAAACAUGGUAUAUAUGCGAGUUACUCAUCAUGUAAACACAUAACGCUACGUGGCAAAGAGAACACAACAGCUUGACUGCAUAAACCGGUUUUGCGGCUAGCAAGACACAAACAUCGUGCUUUCCUGAAAAACAAACACAUUUAUUGCGUGUUACAAUUCGUUAAGGUGAAUAUACAAAGUGCACACGGAAAAAGACAUACUGUAUAGAUCUAAGGUAUUGAGAAUCAUAGGCAAUCACUGAAUCAGCAAGAAAAUGUCGACUAAGACACCGAGCUCGAGCGCCGAUGCCGACAAAGAAUAUAUGGACGAAUACGAGGACUAUAACAUAAACCAGGACAAAUAUGUGACGUCGGGGCACAGCGGCAAGGGGCGGUCAAAAAAGGAGGCGGAACAGCAUCAUAAGGAUGACCCCAGCGGGCAUACGCGCAAAAUUGUCAACACAUUUACGAAUAACGCGAACAAUCAGAAGAAAUAGAUUGUCUCGCGAGGCGACGCCGUGCGGACAGUUUUCCCGACAACGACUCAACGUGUUGAAUUAUUUUGGUGGUACGGCGUGACUAAAAUGUUUCAACUUUGCCCGGCCUUUGGACUUCGAUUUUUACCAACCUGUGAUAAGACAGGCGCCGUUCCUCGUGCCUUGAUAAUUGUGAGGAAUUAACAUGGCGACCAAUGUGUUGCCAUGUCGACAUAUUAACAUGGUGGAAAAACGCUUUGGUGCGUUUAUCACGCGAGUCAUUUGUGUAUUGUCUUCUUAAAACGAAGUCUUCUGUUGCGUUUUUGUGGUGAUGGUUGCAACAGCAAAUUUGAAUAUUUUGCGCAUGUAUGCAGAACUUUUCAUAAUAAAUUGUUGUUCGAAUUA